Non-coding RNA from Mycena latifolia, 95 nucleotides. The record is from the annotation of a GenBank genome assembly. Lineage: Eukaryota; Fungi; Basidiomycota; Agaricomycetes; Agaricales; Mycenaceae.
GGCCUGGUGGUGUAACGGUAACAUACCUACUCUACUUUUCCCCCCUCACCUGAAGGUUUUGGUAGGAGUACCUUGUUCGACUCAAGGCUAGGCUA